This is a non-coding RNA of SAR92 bacterium BACL16 MAG-120619-bin48, 255 nucleotides long. The record is from Rfam. NCBI's taxonomy places the organism in Bacteria, Pseudomonadati, Pseudomonadota, Gammaproteobacteria, Cellvibrionales, Porticoccaceae.
GCUCUUGCUUCUGCAGUAGGUUCUCUAGCAUCGCCAGUUUGAUUUUGGUGUGCCAAGAGUGAAACGGGAAGUCGGUGCGCUUGCUAGGACACGGCACGCUAACCCGACACUGCCCCCGCAACGGUAAAUAAGACAAUUUGGCAUUAUGCCACUGUGCAUCUGCAUAACAGCAACCGCAUGGGAAGGCGCUAAAUUGAGUGAUUCUUUAGUCACUAACUUAUGAGUCCGGAGACCGGCCUAUCGCAACGCAGACAA